RNA transcript from Andrographis paniculata, 2251 nucleotides. RefSeq lists it as uncharacterized. NCBI's taxonomy places the organism in Eukaryota, Viridiplantae, Streptophyta, Magnoliopsida, Lamiales, Acanthaceae. The transcript is spliced from 10 exons. The record is from RefSeq and is a predicted model, not a curated record.
UGUUCUAACAGGGAAAUAGAUAAUCACAGAAUUACAGAUUCCUGUCUCGUUGUUUGGUUCACAUCUCAUGGCAUCCGCCGCCGGUAAUCGCCGUCGCCGGCACCCCCCCGAUGGUCACUUCACGCAAUUCGUCCAAAACGCCUCCACCAAUCUAUCAUCGCUAUUCGCCCCCAAACCGCGGUCGCCACCCGCAUCCUCAUCGAAAAUCCAUCUGCCGCUUCUCCUACCGGACCGAGUCCUCUCGCUCGCCGCCUCAUCCGACUCAGCGCAGCCGGACUCUCUUUCCCCAACGCAGCCUAGAGAUUUUCCAUCUUCUUCGGCGGAUAACAGCAUGCCUGCUGCGGAGUCCGGUUCGAGGCUUCCAUCGACGGUUCGAGUCACGACCGGAAAAGGCGGUGGACCGGCUUUUGUAGGUCAGGUUUACAGCAUGUGUGACCUUUCGGGGACUGGUUUAAUGGCUGUAUCGACGCAUUUUAACAUUCCCUUCCUAUCGAAAAGAACACCAGAGUGGUUAAAGAAGGUUUUUGCUGCAGUGACCAAGAGCGAGAGGACCGCCCCUAUCUUUAGUUUCUUCAUGGAUGUGGGCGAUGCUGUUUCUUAUGUGAAAAAGCUCAAUAUACCCAGUGGUGUUGUUGGUGCAUGCCGUCUUGAUAUCGCAUAUGAACAUUUUAAGGAGAAACCCGAGAGGUUUCAAUUCAUACCAAAUGGACGACAGGUGAAGGAAGCCAACAAACUUUUGAAGACCUUACCACACAGCAAUAAGAAAACGAAAGUGCAGGGUGUUCCUGUUUUCAGUGCUCAAAACUUGGAUAUUGCUAUAGCAACAAAGGAUGGAAUCAAGUGGUAUACUCCUUACUUCUUUGACAAGAACAUGCUCGAUAACAUUCUCGAAGAUUCUGUAGACCAACAUUUCCAUGCAUUGAUCGAAACGAGACAUUUUCAUCGCCGGCGAGAUGCUAUUGAUGAUAGUCUCACUUCUGAAACAAUUGAAGAGAUGCGGGAUAGCAUGUGGGAUCCUCCAGAGGUUCAGGAAAUGCUUGAUGAAGUGGGUCAUUCGGGUAUACCGUUGAGCAUCAUAUCAAAGGUCGCCGAAAUUCAGCUUAUGCACACUGUGGACAAAGUCAUUCUUGGAAAUCGAUGGUUGCGUAGGGCCACCGGAAUUCAACCCAAAUUUCCAUACAUGGUCGACUCUUUUGAGAAAAAAAGUGCAGCUUCCCUUCGGAGAGCUAAAGCUCCACCCCACCUAAUAUCCAAUUCUGAAUUCGAAGACAAGGCUCCUGUACAGAACACUGCCGCCUUAAGCACAGCAAAAACAGAAGAUCGUGCUCUUGCUAAACGAUCUUUACUGAAUUUCCAGUUUCCCUUUGGUGAUUGGCUCCGGCUUCCCUGGUUGAAACAACAAAACACAUUCUUUGACUCAAGAGACGAGAAUUCCACCAAUCAUCAACGUGGAAAAAGACAAGAGUCGCAACCAUCCCCAUUCCUCCCCAAGAUUACAAUGGUUGGAAUCUCAACAGGCGAGCCUGGGAAGAUGAACAAAGAUGCACUAAAGAAGACUAUGGAAGGGUUAACCAAAGAACUAGAGAAGGCAGAUCGGGUAGAACGAUCAGUAAGCCCUAUCGGCAGUGAAUCGGCUGCUGAAGAGAGGGAUCCGCUGUUUGUAGCCAAUGUUGGAGACUAUAAUUCCGGCGCAUUUAAAUCUGGCUCAACAGGAUGGGUUCGCGGAUCGGGAUCGGGAUCGGCUUAAGAGUCGGAAUUUUUUGUGUUUCUUUCUGGUAGCUUUUGCAAUUGGCAUUCAUCCAAAGUGAAAAGGAUGUGAAUCAUGAGAGAGAUGAGUCAGGGAGAGAGGAGGCAGCCAUAGCUGAGAACACACACACAGACAGAGAAGAGGAAGUAAAGAUUAAUAACUUAAUUAUUGUGUGGAUAGGAAGGAAUGGUGAAUUGAAGAGAUUAUUUAUUAGGGUUCAUCGAUUACAGUUGCAUGCAGUGAUUUGAGUUUGCAAUAUUUUUGCAUGACAGAGACAAUAUGGAUAUGGAUUGUGUCACUGUGUGAGUGGAUGGGUGGAAUGGAAGAUGCCCCAAUCUCCAUUGUUGGGUGGUGAAUGCAAGUUAGAGGAGGAGCAAGCACCACAAUCCGCAUGUGAUGAAUAUAUGAAGGCAUGGUGGUGACACUAUUUAUACUUGGAUAUAUUUUUCUUACUAAGGUUGUCUCAGAUUUAUUAUUUCCAAUAAAAAAAUAAUUAUUAUUUAA